AUUGUGAAGUCCUGUCCUGAAAGGAUCUGCUUGGUCUCUUUUGAGAAUGCACACAGGUAGAUUGCAUUGAAUACUGAUGGAAUUUCUGCUUUCUCCUUGACUUGUCCUGCUGCACUUUAAGUUUAAGAUUUACUCAGAAAUAUGAAAAGGACCUGCUGUCACCAUGCCACAAAGAGGAGAACUUACCAUCAUUGCACUACAAACUGUCAACCCUUAGCUGGCUCUGCACCUUGGUUUCUCUCAGCAUAGGGUUACAGAGGCAACUACCAAGCAACCAACCCAAUUAAAGAUGAAGCCAACUUCCUGGAGAAGAGGUAAGUGUCCGCUCCUAUCCCAGUUACAUUCAACCAGAAGACAUCACCUAUCUAAAACCAUGGGGAACACCAGCUACACAAAUGAUGAGUCCAGUACAUAUUUUGUUAACAUGAAAAUGCUUCUUGAUAAAAGUGAAAGAGAGAGAGAGAGAAAUGCUGCCAUUUAUUGGAACCCUAUAUUUAGCCAUGCUCAAAGUCAGCACCAAUCCUUUUGAUUUUUCAUAAGCUAACAACUUUCUUUUGAUUACAAUAACGUGGAUUGUGUUUCUAUUGGUUACAAUGCAAAACAUCCUAUUAUGGAGAAGCAGAGUGCUCCCUGUGCUGAAGAGGAGGUAAGCCUUCUGGGCCACUAUACCACCAUCUCCAGUGGUGAGGAGCAGAGCCACCUCCAACACUGAGGACGAUGUGAGCCUUCCAGGCUGCUAUACCACUGCCCCCAGUACCAAGAAGCAGAGCUGUGCCCAGUGCUGAAGAGGAGUCUUCCAGGCUGCCAUACCACCACUCCCAGAUCUGAGGAGCAGAGACACCCUCAGCACUCAGAAGGAGCCUUUCAGGCCACCGUACCAUCACCCAC
RNAcentral lists this long non-coding RNA (888 nucleotides) under Heterocephalus glaber (naked mole-rat). RNAcentral describes it as "lncRNA (ENSHGLG00000032264.1)". The record is from RNAcentral. Lineage: Eukaryota; Metazoa; Chordata; Mammalia; Rodentia; Bathyergidae.